Nothobranchius furzeri (turquoise killifish) is the source of this 2970-nucleotide non-coding RNA. NCBI's taxonomy places the organism in Eukaryota, Metazoa, Chordata, Actinopteri, Cyprinodontiformes, Nothobranchiidae. The record is from RefSeq and is a predicted model, not a curated record.
UUCUCACUCUUCUGUUUAAGUGUAUUGAAAGCCUAAAAUUCUGUAUAAUUAAUGAGCAUCCGACACACGUGACCGCCGCCUCAGACCCACGUGACCACAGAGCUAGCUCCGUGGAAAGGCCUCAGUACAGCCUCGGUCUGGCUUGGAAACUGCUCCGGCAUUUUGAGUCUCUGUGUUUGUGUAUUCUUCUUUGGAUAUUAUUGGUGCAAUUGUUGGACAAAAUGACUUGCAGUGGUAUUAAUUGCACUAAUAGAGCGUCCAAGGAGUCUCCACUUCAUUUUUUUCGGUAAGUUAAAAUCUAUAUUCGUAUUUUAUGUCACUGCUACCUUUAAACUAGCUGAGUUUACCGAAGUAGCUAGCUAACUAUCAGUUUAACAUGUAGCAUGUACUGUUUAACCAUGAAAUUUAAAUGUAAAAUACGGUAAAAUAAUUAAUAGGGCAUAUUUAGAUGGGUAAUAGGGUAAAACCCAGUGCAUUUAAGAUAAAAAUGGGUUGAAAUAUGACGGAGCGCUAAGAGGGAGACUUCUGUGUCCAUUCUUCCAUCCGGUAAUCCCCAGCGUUCAGGCCGGGCAGCCUGACCGAUCCGGCGCCUACUUGCUGCGCCUAGCUGCUGCGCGGUCUGACCGCUCGUGGAGUUUUUCAUGUCUGACUUUAACCGCAUCUAAUACUGUAUUACGGCGUGAGCGCAACAGCGACAACUUAAUAUCGAUGUGUAAGCAGCCUGAGUGGUAGGGUGUUUUCAUCUGAACCCUCCAGCAGGCUAUGCUGCACUAUUGACGUGUUAGCGCGCGGCGCUAACAACUUAGCAACGUGACAUGUCUCUGAGAAAGCGUAAAACACGGACGCUUCUUCUGAAGCGGAAAAUAACACCUCUUCUUAAGCAGAGCAGGAUGUCGCCUCGGCUCGUUCACGGCCGAGCCGGACUGAGCUCGAUAACAUUGACCAAGCACAGCCACUGGGCCGUUGUAGCUGCCACCAGGCCUGCUGAAGGAACUCCAGCGGGUUUCAUCAGACUCGUAAAGUUUCUUGUUUUUGCUGGGGAUUUCUGUAUUUUACCGCUCCCUCCUGCAGUCUUCCCCUAUUAAAAUUUAAAAUGUGUAACUUUAUGUAUUGUGAUGAAUGACUAAUAUUCAUGUUAAACUGAAACGUUAGGCAUUUAGGGGGAAAAAACAAAAUAAUAAACAUUAUACAGAUGUCAAAUAAAUCAAACUGUAAUUAAACUAUAUAUUUUCAAAGUCAUAUAGACAGCAUGAUGGUUUGUGUGAUCCGCGCGGUUUCACUUACACCCCUUUAAUGAUCAGGCUGUUUUUUAUUAUUUUUAUCAGCUGAUAGCAGUUAAAAUUAUGGUAAAAAAUACUUUUAUCUGUUUUUGAUAACUUAAUGCCCAGGAAGAGCAUCUUCCUGGGCAUUAAAUAUAACCCAAAUGUUUUAUUAUGAGCAGAUCUGAUGAAGGUUUAGACAAGCAGUCUGCAAAGUAAAACUUGUUUAGAGUCCAAACUCUUACUAAAGCUUUUGAAAAGAAAAAAUGGUUGAAUUUUGAGAAAUAUCCACAACAGGGGAGCGAGACCUCUGAAAAAUGUAUAUUUUCUCUGAAUUCAUAGAAUAAUGUGAAGAUUCUGGGAAAAGUUGGGAUUCUGAGAUUAAAACGUAAAUCUUUCUAAUCAUAAUUCUGGCAGUUUUUGUGUCCUUCUGCUGUGGAAAGUCGUGCAACAUGAAGAUACUGAGAAGAUGCUUACAACCUGUAUUUUUAUUCCAUCCAUAAAUAAAAUCAUGAGCUAUUUUUUAAAUCCAAAUUUGAUCCAAAGGGCCAUCGUUGGUUCCAGACCCGUUCUAGAACAUUCCUCUAAUCUUAAAGUCAUCAUCAGUUUCUUCCUUUUAACAAAUAUUUAUUUGUUCAAAUAUUUAAUAUUUAUAACUGGAAUAUUUGUUCCUCCCUCUCCCACUGCAGUUAGUCCUGUCCUGCAACCCUGUUUUUGCAGCUUAGUGAAGCCAACCAUCACUAACCGGGGGGUGGUUUUGGACCCAGAGAUGCGGAUGGACUCCCACAUUAGCCAGGGAAGGACCUGAUUGGUGUCCAGAACCUGAUGAAGAAGCACCAGGCUCUGCAGGCUGAGAUCACAGGUCAUGAACCUCGCAUCAAGGCUGUCACCCAGAAAGGAGAGACCAUGGUGGAAGAAGGUCACUUCGCUGGUGAGGAAGUGAAGACUAAACUGUGGGAGCUUCAUGGACGUUGGGACACGCUGAAGGCCAAGGCGUCCCAGAGGAGGCAGGACCUGGAGGACUCUCUGCAGGCCCAGCAGUACUUUGCGGAUGCUAAUGAGGCCGAGUCCUGGAUGAGGGAGAAGGAGCCCAUCGUUGGAAGUCCAGACUAAGGGAAAGACGAGGACUUGGCCGAGGCUCUCCUGAAGAAGCACGAGGCCCUGAUGUCGGACCUGUCGGCUUACGGCAGCAGCAUCCAGGCCCUGAAGGAGCAGGCCCAGUCCUGCAGGCAACAAGGUGAUCAGCAGGUGCUUUUGUCCUGCAGGACCUGAAGGCCAACGAGUCCCGCCUGAGGGACAUCAACAAGGUGGCAUCUGAACUGGAGUCAGAAGGUCUGAUGGCUGAGGAGGCUCCUAUGGUUCAGGCUCAGCAACAAGAACAUCUGGGUUCUGCUCCUGGAAAGCUGCGUGUUGUCCUCCGCCUCCACCAGAACCAGACGUGGUGUUUAUGUUACCACUCAUUUGUUUGUUUACAGGAUGAAGCCGACUCUAACACGGCGUCACCCUGGAAGGUGAGUUCAUUCAGCUGAUCAGAGGUCACCUCUGAUGGCAGCAGUCACGGCCGACCGUGCUGACAUCACACAGGAAUUCAGGUGACCCGGCAGGCACCAGGUUUUGGUGAAAGUGGGGACAUGUCAGCUGGUUGCCAUGGCUAGUUAUCUUUAUGCAUCUGUAUGACUGCUGACUGUUGUGUGUUUCCUGUGACCUUUGA